GAGCGUAUAGCUCAGUGGUAGAGUGCAUGCUUAACAGGCACAAAGUUCUAGGUUCAAUCCCCAGUGCCUCCA
RNAcentral lists this transfer RNA (72 nucleotides) under Camelus bactrianus (Bactrian camel). It matches the Rfam family "tRNA". Rfam says of the family: Transfer RNA (tRNA) molecules are approximately 80 nucleotides in length. The record is from Rfam by way of RNAcentral. Lineage: Eukaryota; Metazoa; Chordata; Mammalia; Artiodactyla; Camelidae. RNAcentral also lists the same sequence under 2 other names.